CCUACGGGUGGCAGCAGUGAGGAAUAUUGGUCAAUGGACGAGAGUCUGAACCAGCCAAGUAGCGUGAAGGAUGACUGCCCUAUGGGUUGUAAACUUCUUUUAUAUGGGAAUAAAACGUUCCACGUGUGGGAUUUUGUAUGUACCAUAUGAAUAAGGAUCGGCUAACUCCGUGCCAGCAGCCGCGGUAAUACGGAGGAUCCGAGCGUUAUCCGGAUUUAUUGGGUUUAAAGGGAGCGUAGGUGGAUUGUUAAGUCAGUUGUGAAAGUUUGCGGCUCAACCGUAACAUUGCAGUUGAAACUGGCAGUCUUGAGUACAGUAGAGGUGGGCGGAAUUCGUGGUGUAGCGGUGAAAUGCUUAGAUAUCACGAAGAACUCCGAUUGCGAAGGCAGUUCACUGGACUGCAACUGACACUGAGGCGCGAAAGUGUGGGUAUCAAACAGGAUUAGAUACCCCGGUAGUC
RNAcentral lists this ribosomal RNA (460 nucleotides) under uncultured bacterium. RNAcentral describes it as "partial 16S ribosomal RNA". It matches the Rfam family "Bacterial small subunit ribosomal RNA", at positions 338 to 795 of the family's 1533-position model. The record is from RNAcentral.